GAUGAACGCUGGCGGCGUGCCUUACACAUGCAAGUCGAACGGCAGCACGGGAGCAAUCCUGGUGGCGAGUGGCGAACGGGUGAGUAAAGUAUCGGAACGUGCCCAGGCGUGGGGGAUAACGUAGCGAAAGUUACGCUAAUACCGCAUACGAUCUAUGGAUGAAAGCGGGGGAUCGCAAGACCUCGCGCGCUUGGAGCGGCCGAUAUCAGAUUAGGUAGUUGGUGGGGUACAGGCGCACCAAGCCGACGCUCUGGAGCUGGUCUGAGAGGACGACCGGCGACACUGGGACUGAGACACGGCCCAGACGACUACGGGAGGCAGGAGGGGGGAAUUCUACACAAUGGGCGAAAGCCUGAUACCAGCCUGCCGCGUGCAGGAUGAAGGCCUUCGGGUUGUAAACUGCUUUUGUAGGGAACGAAAAGGUUUGGCCUAAUAAGCUGAGCUCAUGACGGUACCGUAAGAAUAAGCACCGGCUAACUACGUGCCAGCCGCCGCCGUAA
This 500-nucleotide ribosomal RNA is filed under the name uncultured bacterium. RNAcentral's name for it is "partial 16S ribosomal RNA". It matches the Rfam family "Bacterial small subunit ribosomal RNA", at positions 28 to 523 of the family's 1533-position model. The record is from RNAcentral.